This is a transfer RNA of 71 nucleotides. It matches the Rfam family "tRNA". From Rfam's summary of the family: Transfer RNA (tRNA) molecules are approximately 80 nucleotides in length. Their secondary structure includes four short double-helical elements and three loops (D, anti-codon, and T loops).
GGGGUUAUAGUUUAAUGGUAGAACGAUUGCUUUGCACGCAUUUAAUAUGGAUUCGAUUUCCAUUAACUCCA